This 468-nucleotide ribosomal RNA is filed under the name uncultured bacterium. Its description in RNAcentral is "partial 16S ribosomal RNA". It matches the Rfam family "Bacterial small subunit ribosomal RNA", at positions 28 to 507 of the family's 1533-position model. The record is from RNAcentral.
GACGAACGCUGGCGGCGUGCUUAACACAUGCAAGUCGAACGGAAAGGCCCUGCUUUUGUGGGUUGCUCGAGUGGCGAACGGGUGAGUAACACGUGAGUAACCUGCCCUUGACUUUGGGAUAACUUCAGGAAACUGGGGCUAUUACCGGAUAGGAGCUCCUGCUGCAUGGUGGUGGUUGGAAAGUUUCGGCGGUUGGGGAUCGACUCGCGGCUUAUCAGCUUGUUGGUGGGGUAGUGGCUUACCAAGGCUUUGACGGGUAGCCGGCCUGAGAGGGUGACCGGCCACAUGGGGACUGAGAUACGGCCCAGACUCCUACGGGAGGCAGCAGUGGGGAAUAUUGCACAAUGGGCGGAAGCCUGAUGCAGCAACGCCGCGUGCGGGAUGACGGCCUUCGGGUUGUAAACCGCUGUCGCCGGUGACGAAGCGUGAGUGACGGUAAUGGGUAAAGAAGCACCGGCUAACUACGUG